Molecule: ribosomal RNA, 501 nt
Filed under: uncultured bacterium
Lineage: Bacteria
Description: partial 16S ribosomal RNA
Rfam family: Bacterial small subunit ribosomal RNA
Source: RNAcentral
AUUGAACGCUGGCGGCAGGCUUAACACAUGCAAGUCGAGCGGGGAAGGGUAGCUUGCUACCUAACCUAGCGGCGGACGGGUGAGUAAUGCUUAGGAAUCUGCCUAUUAGUGGGGGACAACAUUCCGAAAGGAAUGCUAAUACCGCAUACGCCCUACGGGGGGAAGCAGGGGAUCUUCGGACCUUGCGCUAAUAGAUGAGCCUAAGUCAGAUUAGCUAGUUGGUGGGGUAAAGGCCUACCAAGGCGACGAUCUGUAGCGGGUCUGAGAGGAUGAUCUGCCACACUGGUACUGAGACACGGCCCAGACUCCUACGGGAGGCAGCAGUGGGGAAUAUUGGACAAUGGGCGCAAGCCUGAUCCAGCCAUGCCGCGUGUGUGAAGAAGGCCUUUUGGUUGUAAAGCACUUUAAGCGAGGAGGAGGCUACCGAGAUUAAUACUCUUGGAUAGUGGACGUUACUCGCAGAAUAAGCACCGGCUAACUCUGUGCCAGCCGCCGCUGUAA